Molecule: ribosomal RNA, 725 nt
Filed under: uncultured eukaryote
Lineage: Eukaryota
Description: SSU rRNA
Rfam family: Eukaryotic small subunit ribosomal RNA
Source: RNAcentral
UGAGUAACUGUGCUCCUAGACUGUUUAGCCGGUUUUCCUUGGUUUGCCUUCACCGGUAGGCCAUGGUGGCUGGCGUGUUUACCUUGAAUAAAUUAGAGUGCUCAAGACAGGCGUUUUGCUUGUAUAUCCGUGCAUGGAAUAAUGGAACAGGACUUCGGUUCAUUCUGUUGGUCUUGGAACCGAUGUAGUGGUUAAGAGGGACUGACGGGGGCAUCCGUAUCGCUGCGUGAGAGGUGAAAUUCUUGGACCGCAGCGGGACGUCCAACUGCGAAAGCAUUUGCCAAGAAUGUCUUCAUUAAUCAAGAACGAAAGUCAGAGGAUCGAAGGCGAUUAGAUACCGCCCUAGUUCUGACCGUAAACGAUGCCAACUAGCGAUCAGGUGCUGAUAGUUUAGUCGCGCCUGGGAGCUUCCCGGAAACGAAAGUCUUCGGGUUCCGGGGGUAGUAUGGUUGCAAAGCUGAAACUUAAAGGAAUUGACGGAAGGGCACCACCAGGAGUGGAGCCUGCGGCUUAAUUUGACUCAACACGGGAAAACUCACCCGGCCCGGACACUAGUAUGAUUGACAGAUUGAUAGUUCUUUCCUGAUUUGGUGGUUGGUGGUGCAUGGCCGUUCUUAGUUGGUGGAGUGAUUUGUCUGGUUUAUUCCGAUAACGAACGAGACUCUAACCUGCUAAAUAGUUUCCCGGUAGCUUAGCCGGCUGAAACUUCUUAGAGGGAUCAGUGG